CAUAUCAAUAAGCGGAGGAAAAGAAACUAACAAGGAUUCCCCUAGUAACUGCGAGUGAAGCGGGAAAAGCUCAAAUUUAAAAUCUGGCGGUCUUUGGCUGUCCGAGUUGUAAUCUAGAGAAGUGCUAUCCGCGUUGGACCGUGUACAAGUCUCCUGGAAUGGAGCGUCAUAGAGGGUGAGAAUCCCGUCUUUGACACGGACUGCCAGGGCUUUGUGAUGCGCUCUCAAAGAGUCGAGUUGUUUGGGAAUGCAGCUCAAAAUGGGUGGUAAAUUCCAUCUAAAGCUAAAUAUUGGCGAGAGACCGAUAGCGAACAAGUACCGUGAGGGAAAGAUGAAAAGAACUUUGGAAAGAGAGUUAAACAGUACGUGAAAUUGCUGAAAGGGAAACGCUUGAAGUCAGUCGCGUUGUCCAGGGAUCAACCUUGCUUUUGCUUGGUGCACUUUCUGGUUGACGGGUCAGCAUCAAUUUUGACUAUUGGAAAAAGAUCAGGGGAAUGUGACAUCUUCGGAUGUGUUAUAGCCCUUGGUUGCAUACAAUAGUUGGGAUUGAGGAACUCAGCACGCCGCAAGGCCGGGUUUUCAACCACGUACGUGCUUAGGAUGCUGGCAUAAUGGCUUUAAUCGACCCGUCUUGAAACACGGACCAAGGAGUCUAACAUGCCUGCGAGUGUUUGGGUGGAAAACCCGAGCGCGUAAUGAAAGUGAAAGUUGAGAUCCCUGUCGUGGGGAGCAUCGACGCCCGGACCAGACCUUUUGUGACGGCUCCGCGGUAGAGCAUGUAUGUUGGGACCCGAAAGAUGGUGAACUAUGCCUGAAUAGGGUGAAGCCAGGGGAAACCCUGGUGGAGGCUCGUAGCGAUUCUGACGUGCAAAUCGAUCGUCAAAUUUGGGUAUAGGGGCGAAAGACUAAUCGAACCAUCUAGUAGCUGG
Molecule: ribosomal RNA, 929 nt
Filed under: Cortinarius sp. PDD 106497
Lineage: Eukaryota; Fungi; Basidiomycota; Agaricomycetes; Agaricales; Cortinariaceae
Description: partial large subunit ribosomal RNA
Rfam family: Eukaryotic large subunit ribosomal RNA
Source: RNAcentral